Long non-coding RNA from Cucumis melo (muskmelon), 2526 nucleotides. RefSeq lists it as uncharacterized. The transcript is spliced from 5 exons. NCBI's taxonomy places the organism in Eukaryota, Viridiplantae, Streptophyta, Magnoliopsida, Cucurbitales, Cucurbitaceae. The record is from RefSeq and is a predicted model, not a curated record.
ACCGUCAUUUUUAGGUAAAAUGAUUUUGACAAGAGAAAAAGUGAUUUUGACAAUCUCAAAAUUACUCCCAAACACAACUUUAGUUCUAAGCAUGUACUAGUGUGUUAAUAUGAACAAGAUUUCUAGUUGAAAAAAAUUUAAAAUGGAACAUUGGACAAAAACAAGUUUAAUGUAAAAAGAAAAAGUAACAUUGCUAGGAUCAAAAUUGUUCUUUUGUGAAUGUUUUUUUUACUAAAAGAAAAUUUUUGAAAGAUUAGAAAUCAUAACAGAACUAAUUUGAGAGUUGAAGGAUCCAAUCAAACAUUUUAAAGGUUUAAAGAUUAUAUUAUAUAUAUAUAUAUAUAUAUAUUUAAAGGGGUUAUGCGGGAAAAGUCUUUACAUGCUCCUUUUGUCUCUACAGUUUUUAUGAAUUUCCACAUUAUUCUUUGUCGAGUGGUUGUAAUUUUUCGAGCAUUUACCUUCGUCAAGUGGUUGUGACUUUUCGAGUGCAAUUGAUGUUAAGAGAUAGAACGGAAUAGAUGUCAUUUGGAUGCAUUUGUUCGGAUUGGAGAUUGUUACACAUUAAAUUAUUAGGUGUAAUGAUUAUUUGAAUGUAUAUGUGAGAUGCUUGUGUAAAAGAAAUGCAAAAUAAAAACUCCCAAUUACCUAAUAAAUAAAAACAAUGAGAUUCAAAGUUUAGAGAAAGUUUUAAAAAAUAUAUUUAAUUGAAGGAAAGUAGUAACAAUGCAAUCAUAGCAUGUACAUUGAAGAUACUGUAUAUCUGGUGUAACUUCAUGGUAUAACAUUAGAACAAAUAAUAAUGAGUUAUCUAAAAAAAAAUAAAACUACAAAAUAUAACGUCCAUCGCACCUGUUGCUCAAUUAGUAUGAGUAAAAGAUAACAUAGUUUCACUAAUGGCAAAAUUGAUGAAACUUUUACCGAACAUAGCAAAAUGUGAUAUUUUAUCACUGAUAAGCGCUUACAAACACCGAUAUAAUACUUCUAUUACUAACAGACACUGAUUGAAGUUUUCUAAUGGUGUCUAUCAAUGUCUAUCAUUGAUAGAAUAUGAAAUGUUACUAUAUUUUGUAAAUAUUUUAAAUUCAUUUUGUUAUAUGUGAAAAUGCCCUUUUUUCAAAUGGAUAUUCUCAUAUAUUUUUUAAUUUUUCGAUUCUUAGCUUACAACAAAUUUUCUCAACAACCAAAAUAGAAACCAAAAUUUUAAGUUAAAAUAUUAAAUCACAUAAAAUUUCACAAAAUUUCCAAAAUCAUAACCUCCCCAUAAAACAUACCAAAAUGAUAAGCAGUCAAAUGAAAAAAGUAUUCGGCUAUCAAGGCACACUCAACUAUUAAUGUAAUUUUGUUAAAAUAUGUAAGGCUUUGAAAUAAUUUGGCUCUUUAUUUAUUAUAGUUCUUCUUAUUAUAGUUCAUAUACCUUAAUUAAAGUGUACAAUCUUAUUAUUUAUUUAUUUUAGAUAAGCAAGUGUUAUUGAGCUCGUUAGUUUUUCGUUCGCUUUAACAGUACCAUCAAUGUAUUAACGCGAGAUACUUUUCCAGUUCGCUUUCUUAAGUGGGAUGAUGUGACACCAAAGUACAUUGAGCUCGUUAAGGGUGGUUUACAGCACUUACUUGGUUUGUUGAGCAUCAAAUGUUCACCAUGUGGAAGGAGUUCAAGGGAUAGAACCACCGCCAUUUUAAGAAGUUCGAUGAUUCUAAACAGGCUCAUGCUAACCCACCCCAAGAUUGAGCAAUCGGGUGCAAGAUUGGCACUUCCUCUAUGACCACUACUUCACUCGAUAAUUUCAGGAGCAAUUGUUGAUGAACAAGGCUGCUAGAGUGAAGCAGUCCUACAACCACAGCAGCGGCGCAAAGUCGUUUUUACAACGACAAUACGAGCUCACUGAACAGCGGGAUCAUCUAAUCCAUCGUGUGAAGUUAUUUAGGAAAACACACGCUUGGGAUGGCCUGUUCGUUUCACAGGUGGCUGCUGAUGUGCAUAAUCAAAUGCCGGAACUCCAGUCCCAACCUGCCCCAUAAGGUUCUCAAGCACUCUCUGGGGACGAAAUAUGCGAGACUGUUUUGGGUAAACGAUCAGGCUGUUUAAAAGGUCUUGGUUGGGUCCCCAAGCUAAAGUUUCGACAUGCUGUUGGCAAUUCUUCAUCUACAUCUGUCGAGCGAGAGCUAGUCCACGUCAGGGAGGUUAAUGAGGAGCUAAAAACUUGUCUUGAGGUUGUAGAAGAGGAGAGUAAUUGGAAGCAGGAAGAAAGUAUUCGCUUGAUAGAAACACAAACUUAGCAGAUGGAAGAAAUGAGGAAAAUGAUUAAAGACCUCUAUCGGGCUUCAAGAGAACCUUAAUUUCAUUGAGAUUCGAAGGCGUGGGGACUUUCAUGGGACACCAGCAUAGAUUAUGUGUUUAGUUUUCUGUUUUUAGUUUAAGUUUUUUGUUUUCAGUUUAAGUUUUUCGUUUUCAUUAUGUAUGUAAUUUCUAAACUAUGAACAUGUAUUUUUGAAUUAUUUUUAAUAUAAAUUUCAUUUGGUAUUUCAUUA